AAUAAGAGGUCACGCCUGCCCAGUGACUAUAUGUUCAACGGCCGCGGUAUUUUGACCGUGCAAAGGUAGCGCAAUCACUUGUCUUUUAAAUGGGGACCUGUAUGAAUGGCAUCACGAGGGCUUAACUGUCUCCUUUCUCAGGCCAAUGAAAUUGAUCUCCCCGUGCAGAAGCGGGGAUAAUUACAUAAGACGAGAAGACCCUAUGGAGCUUUAGACACUAAGACAGCUUAUGUCAAUUACUCCUAACAAAGAAAUGAACUAAGUGAAUUCUGUCCUAAUGUCUUUGGUUGGGGCGACCCUGGGAAAAUAAAGAACUCCCAUGUGGACUGGAAACAUGUUUCCAAAACCAAGAGCUUCAGCUCUAAGAAGCAGAACUUCUGACCAAUUAGAUCCGGCAACGCCGAUCAACGGACCGAGUUACCCUAGGGAUAACAGCGCAAUCCUCUUUUAGAGUUCAUAUCGACAAGGGGGUUUACGACCUCGAUGUUGGAUCAGGACAUCCUAAUGGUGCAGCCGCUAUUAAGGGUUCGUUUGUUCAACGAUUAAAGUCCU
Molecule: ribosomal RNA, 552 nt
Filed under: Labroides bicolor (bicolor cleaner wrasse)
Lineage: Eukaryota; Metazoa; Chordata; Actinopteri; Labriformes; Labridae
Description: partial 16S ribosomal RNA
Rfam family: Bacterial large subunit ribosomal RNA
Source: RNAcentral